GACGAACGCUGGCGGCGUGCCUAAUACAAGCAAGUCGAACGAGAGCGACCGGUGCUUGCACUGGUCAAUCUAGUGGCGAACGGGUGAGUAACACGUGGGUAACCUGCCCAUCAGAGGGGGAUAACAUUCGGAAACGGAUGCUAAAACCGCAUAGGUUCUUUAGUCGCAUGACUGAAGAAGGAAAAGAGGCUUCGGCUUCUGCUGAUGGAUGGACCCGCGGUGCAUUAGCUAGUUGGUGAGGUAACGGCUCACCAAGGCCGUGAUGCAUAGCCGACCUGAGAGGGUGAUCGGCCACAUUGGGACUGAGACACGGCCCAAACUCCUACGGGAGGCAGCAGUAGGGAAUCUUCCGCAAUGGACGCAAGUCUGACGGAGCAACGCCGCGUGAGUGAAGAAGGAUUUCGGUUCGUAAAACUCUGUUGUUAGAGAAGAACAGCGCAUAGAGUAAACUGUUAUGCGU
This 460-nucleotide ribosomal RNA is filed under the name Granulicatella elegans. RNAcentral describes it as "bacterial SSU rRNA". It matches the Rfam family "Bacterial small subunit ribosomal RNA", at positions 28 to 468 of the family's 1533-position model. Lineage: Bacteria; Bacillati; Bacillota; Bacilli; Lactobacillales; Carnobacteriaceae. The record is from RNAcentral.